Non-coding RNA from Acanthosepion pharaonis, 111 nucleotides. The record is from the annotation of a GenBank genome assembly. NCBI's taxonomy places the organism in Eukaryota, Metazoa, Mollusca, Cephalopoda, Sepiida, Sepiidae.
ACGGCUACAUCUUGUUGAAAAACCGGCUCCCGUACGAUCAUCAACGUUAAGCAACGUCGAGCCUGGUCAGUACCUAGAUGGGUGACCAGUUGAGAAUACCAAGUUCUGUAA